This 468-nucleotide ribosomal RNA is filed under the name uncultured bacterium. RNAcentral describes it as "partial 16S ribosomal RNA". It matches the Rfam family "Bacterial small subunit ribosomal RNA", at positions 28 to 507 of the family's 1533-position model. The record is from RNAcentral.
GACGAACGCUGGCGGCGUGCUUAACACAUGCAAGUCGAACGGAAAGGCCCUGCUUUUGUGGGGUGCUCGAGUGGCGAACGGGUGAGUAACACGUGAGUAACCUGCCCUUGACUUUGGGAUAACUUCAGGAAACUGGGGCUCAUACCGGAUAGGAGCUCCUGCUGCAUGGUGGGGGUUGGUAAGAUUCGGAGGUUGGGGCUGGACUCGAGGGUUAUGAGCUUGUUGGUGGGGUAGUGGCUUACCAAGGUUUUGAAGGGUAGCCGGCAUGGGAGGGGUACCGGCCACAUUGGGACUGAGAUACGGCCCAGACUGCUACGGGAGGCAGCAGUGGGGAAUAUUGCAGAAUGGGCGGAAGCCUGAUGCAGCAACGCCGCGUGCGGGAUGACGUCCUUCGGGUUGUAAACCGCUGUCGCCUGUGACGAAGCGUGAGUGACGGUAAUGGGUAAAGAAGCACCGGCUAACUACGUG